Non-coding RNA from Ictidomys tridecemlineatus (thirteen-lined ground squirrel), 73 nucleotides. NCBI's taxonomy places the organism in Eukaryota, Metazoa, Chordata, Mammalia, Rodentia, Sciuridae. The record is from Rfam.
GGGUAUAUAGCUCAGUGGUAGAGUACUUGCUUAGCAUGUGUGAGGUCCUCGGGUUCAAUCCCCAGUAUACCAC